Molecule: non-coding RNA, 381 nt
Organism: Sus scrofa (pig)
Lineage: Eukaryota; Metazoa; Chordata; Mammalia; Artiodactyla; Suidae
Source: RefSeq, a predicted model, not a curated record
GCUCACGCAGUUUCUUUAUUCAGGGAACUGGGGGAGCCCGGGGCUCUGUCUAGCUCCAGAAUUCUAAGGAUCCCAGCACAGGUUUCUUCCCAAGAGAUUCCCGAGCCCUGGAAAAAGAUUCUCUUCAAAUUGUGAUGACGGUCCGGGCAGAGUGACAACUAUGCAUAACACGUCCAUCCAGCUCUGUUUACGUCGAGCCCUUCAGCAUCUGUGGUCCUGCACAGCCCUCACUCUGUCCCUGAGAAUCAGGAAAGGAUCACCCAAUAACUGUGGGACCACAGGAGAAACAGACCUGUCUUUGCCCCCCACUUCCUGACACACAGCUCCCAAAACUCUCAGAAUCUCUGGAGUUCCCGUGGUGGCGCAGUCGUUAAUGAUUCC